GCCGUAAUUAAAAAUAACAGAUACCCUAGUGAAGAAGGGCUGUCACCCUGCUAGGACAUUCUUAGAGCAGUCUGUAUUAAGAAGGAUACCUUUUAAUAUAGGGCUUAAGUGACAUUAUAAUUAGUAAGUUUUACUUAUUAAAAAGAUGAAGCUUAAAGGUUACGGAAAGUACCAAUAGUUAGGAAUGGUGUAUCUAUACAGUUUAAUAUAAUGCCGCAACAGUGUGGGGAGAGUAAUAGACGCUUGAGAAGAGAAGAACCUUAAGUCUUAGUCCUGUGGUGGGAUUGAGCAGCUUAAGGAAUACCAACCAAUCUCCUUUGCUAUGAUGUUGUAGAAAUACAACUAUAACACACAGCAGCGGACAAGUAGCCCAUAGGCGUGAAAUGAUGAAACAGUAUGUUUAAAAUUGUUUAAAAUUCUGAAUGAUGGGUGAAAGUUGCAGGUAGAAAGUCCUGUCAUAGCAUUGGGGAGAAAUCCUGUGGUAAGAAGUUUAGAGGUCGCUCCUUUAAGCUCAGACUUAUCAUCUAUGUAGCAUAAUAAUAGCGAACUGUAUAGGAUAAGAUGAAGGUCUAUCUGUUUUAUUUUAU
Molecule: non-coding RNA, 587 nt
Filed under: unclassified sequences
Description: ROOL RNA
Rfam family: ROOL RNA
About the family: Firmicutes, Fusobacteria (1 example), Tenericutes (1 example). Environment (Cow rumen (57))
Source: Rfam by way of RNAcentral